AAGAAAGUAAGAAAGGGCGUAUGGCGGAUGCCUAGGCUCACGGAGGCGAUGAAGGACGUGAUAAGCUGCGAUAAGCUUCGGGUAGGUGCAAAUAACCCUUGAUCCGAAGAUUUCCGAAUGGGACAACCUAGCCGUCUGAAGGACGGUUACUCUUACCAGUGUAAGAGAGCUAACGCAGGGAACUGAAACAUCUUAGUACCUGCAGGAAGAGAAAAUAAAUGAAUGAUUCCCCCAGUAGUGGCGAGCGAACGGGGAACAGCCCAAACCAGUGGCGUCGCAAGGCGUGGCUGGGGUUGUAGGACCGCGACAUUGUACUGAAAUGGUGAGUGGAAGUAUCUGGAAAGUUACAUCACAGAAGGUGAUAAUCCUGUACACGAAGCCAGAUCAGGCAUAGCGGUAUCCUGAGUAACGCGGGACACGAGGAAUCCUGCGCGAAUCUGCCGGGACCAUCCGGUAAGGCUAAAUACUCCCGUGAGACCGAUAGCGAACGAGUACUGUGAAGGAAAGGUGAAAAGAACCCCGAGCAGGGGAGUGAAAUAGUUCCUGAAACCAUACGCCUACAAGCGGUCGGAGCACAGCAAUGUGUGACGGCGUGCCUUUUGCAUAAUGAUCCUACGAGUUACCGUCACUGGCGAGGUUGAGUGUCAUGAGACACGUAGCCGCAGUGAAAGCGAGCCUGAAGAGGGCGCACAGUCAGUGGGGGUAGACGCGAAACCAAGUGAUCUACACUUGGCCAGGAUGAAGUCCCGGUAACACGGGAUGGAGGU
This 767-nucleotide ribosomal RNA is filed under the name Segatella copri. RNAcentral's name for it is "partial 23S ribosomal RNA". It matches the Rfam family "Bacterial large subunit ribosomal RNA", at positions 1 to 773 of the family's 2925-position model. The record is from RNAcentral. Lineage: Bacteria; Pseudomonadati; Bacteroidota; Bacteroidia; Bacteroidales; Prevotellaceae.